UGCAAGUCGAACGCGUUGGCCCAAUUGAUUGAUGGUGCUUGCACCUGAUUGAUUUUGGUCGCCAACGAGUGGCGGACGGGUGAGUAACACGUAGGUAACCUGCCCAGAAGCGGGGGACAACAUUUGGAAACAGAUGCUAAUACCGCAUAACAGCGUUGUUCGCAUGAACAACGCUUAAAAGAUGGCUUCUCGCUAUCACUUCUGGAUGGACCUGCGGUGCAUUAGCUUGUUGGUGGGGUAACGGCCUACCAAGGCGAUGAUGCAUAGCCGAGUUGAGAGACUGAUCGGCCACAAUGGGACUGAGACACGGCCCAUACUCCUACGGGAGGCAGCAGUAGGGAAUCUUCCACAAUGGGCGCAAGCCUGAUGGAGCAACACCGCGUGAGUGAAGAAGGGUUUCGGCUCGUAAAGCUCUGUUGUUAAAGAAGAACACGUAUGAGAGUAACUGUUCAUACGUUGACGGUAUUUAACCAGAAAGUCACGGCUAACUACGUGCCAGCAGCCGCGGUAAUACGUAGGUGGCAAGCGUUAUCCGGAUUUAUUGGGCGUAAAGAGAGUGCAGGCGGUUUUCUAAGUCUGAUGUGAAAGCCUUCGGCUUAACCGGAGAAGUGCAUCGGAAACUGGAUAACUUGAGUGCAGAAGAGGGUAGUGGAACUCCAUGUGUAGCGGUGGAAUGCGUAGAUAUAUGGAAGAACACCAGUGGCGAAGGCGGCUACCUGGUCUGCAACUGACGCUGAGACUCGAAAGCAUGGGUAGCGAACAGGAUUAGAUACCCUGGUAGUCCAUGCCGUAAACGAUGAGUGCUAGGUGUUGGAGGGUUUCCGCCCUUCAGUGCCGGAGCUAACGCAUUAAGCACUCCGCCUGGGGAGUACGACCGCAAGGUUGAAACUCAAAGGAAUUGACGGGGGCCCGCACAAGCGGUGGAGCAUGUGGUUUAAUUCGAAGCUACGCGAAGAACCUUACCAGGUCUUGACAUCUUGCGCCAACCCUAGAGAUAGGGCGUUUCCUUCGGGAACGCAAUGACAGGUGGUGCAUGGUCGUCGUCAGCUCGUGUCGUGAGAUGUUGGGUUAAGUCCCGCAACGAGCGCAACCCUUGUUACUAGUUGCCAGCAUUAAGUUGGGCACUCUAGUGAGACUGCCGGUGACAAACCGGAGGAAGGUGGGGACGACGUCAGAUCAUCAUGCCCCUUAUGACCUGGGCUACACACGUGCUACAAUGGACGGUACAACGAGUCGCGAACUCGCGAGGGCAAGCAAAUCUCUUAAAACCGUUCUCAGUUCGGACUGCAGGCUGCAACUCGCCUGCACGAAGUCGGAAUCGCUAGUAAUCGCGGAUCAGCAUGCCGCGGUGAAUACGUUCCCGGGCCUUGUACACACCGCCCGUCACACCAUGAGAGUUUGUAACACCCAAAGUCGGUGGGGUAACCUUUUAGGAGCC
RNAcentral lists this ribosomal RNA (1438 nucleotides) under Limosilactobacillus fermentum. RNAcentral describes it as "bacterial SSU rRNA". It matches the Rfam family "Bacterial small subunit ribosomal RNA". Lineage: Bacteria; Bacillati; Bacillota; Bacilli; Lactobacillales; Lactobacillaceae. The record is from RNAcentral.